This 592-nucleotide ribosomal RNA is filed under the name uncultured bacterium. Its description in RNAcentral is "bacterial SSU rRNA". The stretch from base 1 to 512 matches the Rfam family "Bacterial small subunit ribosomal RNA", at positions 338 to 873 of the family's 1533-position model. The record is from RNAcentral.
CCUACGGGAGGCAGCAGUUAGGAAUAUUGGACAAUGGGCGCAAGCCUGAUCCAGCCAUGCCGCGUGAGUGAUGAAGGCCUUCGGGUUGUAAAACUCUUUAGCCGAUGAAUAUAAUGACUGUAGUCGGAAAAUAAGCCCCGGCUAACUUCGUGCCAGCAGCCGCGGUAAUACGAAGGGGGCGAGCGUUAUUCGGAAUCACUGGGCGUAAAGCGUGCGUAGGCGGUCCUAAAAGUUAGGAGUGAAAGCCCAGGGCUUAACCCUGGAAUUGCUCUUAAAACUAUAGGACUAGAAUUCGGGAGAGGAUAGCGGAAUUGUCAGUGUAGCAGUGAAAUGCGUAGAUAUUGACAGGAACACCAGUGGCGUAAGCGGCUAUCUGGACCGACAUUGACGCUGAGGCACGAAAGCGUGGGGAUCAAACAGGAUUAGAUACCCUGGUAGUCCACGCCGUAAACGAUGUGUGNUGUCGCGGACGGUCGUCUUCGUGACGCAGCUACGACGAUAGACACACCGCCGUCGGAGGUACGGUCGCGAGAAUAAACUAACAAUAGAAUAGACGGCGUGAGACGUGCGACGACGACGACGAGGGAGGAGG